AUUUAUUAUAUUUUUUUUAAAAAUUCUUUUAAAUUAUUAUGCUUAAAUUUUAAUUUAAGAUCUAAACAUACUACUGAUAUAAAAAUAAUAUAAUAUUUUAAUCACUAUUAUUUAAUAUUAAUAAUAAAUUAAUAUUUAAUUAAAAAUAUUUAAAAAAGAGUUCACUUAGAGCUCAAUCCACUCAUUUUUUAGAUUCUGAGCUGAUCUAACCACUAUUAGAAAAUCUGAAAAUUAAUUUUUAAAAAUUAUAUUAUUUUUUUCUCGUCAGAUCAUUCACAAACAGAUUGCGACUUUGACCCGAUUUUGAUAGAAUAAUCAAAGUAAUCUAUUUGAAAAUACAGCUCUUUAGUUGGUCCGUCUUUUUAGGAGAGUAAAAAAAAGCUCAAUCUUUUCUGAGAAGCAGAUAGAUCGUGUACUUGAUAAUUCAAAGAAUCUGGAGCUCAUAAUUUUGACCAUAUGGACUUUCGUGCGUUUCCGCGAUGUCAUGGCCAACGUGACUCGGCAACUUUAGUUUGUAUAAAGAUUUAGGUAAGUGCGACGCGAAGUAGCUAAUGAGCUUCGAUUACACUACUACUAACAGCCUCAUUGUUGGCUUCAAAGAGUUGUAUUCUGUCCUGCGGAGAUAGAUCAAGUUGGAUCAAGUUAUUUUCGAAAUAGCAGAAGGUUGAGUUGGAUCGUUGCCCGACGUGGCGUGAGGCUGGUUGGACUAAGAUACAAUCGAGAUCCGUGGACGUUGUGUAUGUACACUUUAAGUGAAUUAUUUAUUCAUUUUUAACAGCUUGAGCUCGUUUUUGGGAUUAAUGAUUAGCGUUAACGAUACGACAAGUGGUUCCAGAGUCAGAGAUCAUGGAUUCUAUUCCCGCAUACUGUGAAUUUAUCCAGGCGCUGAUCAAGCUGUGUUGAGUCAUCUUCGAAGUAGCAUAAGGCCAGCUAGGCUGAGUCACAAUCAAGAUACGUGGAUGUGAAUGCUGUGUUUAUGCACUUUAAGUAAAUUAGUUAAGUCUCAUGGCUUUUGUGAAGGCACAAUAUGUUAUCUGUUAAUCGGACUUCUCGAAUUAAGCCUUUAAC
Molecule: long non-coding RNA, 1068 nt
Filed under: Ananas comosus (pineapple)
Lineage: Eukaryota; Viridiplantae; Streptophyta; Magnoliopsida; Poales; Bromeliaceae
Description: long non-coding RNA (ACOM_LNC002518)
Source: RNAcentral